Molecule: ribosomal RNA, 385 nt
Filed under: Clostridioides difficile
Lineage: Bacteria; Bacillati; Bacillota; Clostridia; Peptostreptococcales; Peptostreptococcaceae
Description: bacterial SSU rRNA
Rfam family: Bacterial small subunit ribosomal RNA
Source: RNAcentral
AUAACCUGGAGGAAGGUGGGGAUGACGUCAAAUCAUCAUGCCCCUUAUGCUUAGGGCUACACACGUGCUACAAUGGGUAGUACAGAGGGUUGCCAAGCCGUAAGGUGGAGCUAAUCCCUUAAAGCUACUCUCAGUUCGGAUUGUAGGCUGAAACUCGCCUACAUGAAGCUGGAGUUACUAGUAAUCGCAGAUCAGAAUGCUGCGGUGAAUGCGUUCCCGGGUCUUGUACACACCGCCCGUCACACCACGGGAGUUGGAGACGCCCGAAGCCGAUUAUCUAACCUUUUGGAAGAAGUCGUCGAAGGUGGAAUCAAUAACUGGGGUGAAGUCGUAACAAGGUAGCCGUAUCGGAAGGUGCGGCUGGAUCACCUCCUUUCUAAGGAGA